CUGGCUCAGGAUGAACGCUAGCGGCAGGCUUAACACAUGCAAGUCGAGGGGCAGCGGGGAGGAAGCUUGCUUUCUCCGCCGGCGACCGGCGCACGGGUGAGUAACACGUAUGCAACCUGCCCCUGUCAGGGGGACAACCCGCCGAAAGGCGGGCUAAACCCGCGUGCAUGCCACCGGGGCAUCCCGGAGGCAGGAAAGGCUUCGGCCGGACAGGGAUGGGCAUGCGGCGCAUUAGGCAGUAGGCGGGGUAACGGCCCACCUAACCGACGAUGCGUAGGGGUUCUGAGAGGAAGGUCCCCCACACUGGUACUGAGACACGGACCAGACUCCUACGGGAGGCAGCAGUGAGGAAUAUUGGUCAAUGGUCGGGAGACUGAACCAGCCAAGCCGCGUGAGGGAUGAAGGUACAGAGUAUCGUAAACCUCUUUUGUCAGGGAACAAAGGCGGGGACGUGUCCCCGGAUGAGUGUACCUGAAGAAAAAGCAUCGGCUAACUCCGUGCCAGCAGCCGCGGUAAUACGGAGGAUGCGAGCGUUAUCCGGAUUUAUUGGGUUUAAAGCGUGCGCAGGCGGUCUGUUAAGUCAGCGGUCAAAGCCCGGGGCUCAACCCCGGCCCGCCGUUGAAACUGGCAGUCUCGAGUUGGAGAGAAGUAUGCGGAAUGCGCGGUGUAGCGGUGAAAUGCAUAGAUAUCGCGCAGAACUCCGAUUGCGAAGGCAGCAUGCCGGCUCCACACUGACGCUGAGGCACGAAAGCGUGGGUAUCGAACAGGAUUAGAUACCCUGGUAGUCCACGCAGUAAACGAUGAAUGCUGGCUGUCCGGGGGGGAUUGACCCCUGGGUGGCGAAGCGAAAGCGGUAAGCAUUCCACCUGGGGAGUACGCCGGCAACGGUGAAACUCAAAGGAAUUGACGGGGGCCCGCACAAGCGGAGGAACAUGUGGUUUAAUUCGAUGAUACGCGAGGAACCUUACCCGGGCUCAAACGGGGAGUGACUCAGGCAGAGACGCCUGUUUCCCACGGGACACUCCCCGAGGUGCUGCAUGGUUGUCGUCAGCUCGUGCCGUGAGGUGUCGGCUUAAGUGCCAUAACGAGCGCAACCCCCGCGUGCAGUUGCUAACAGAUAACGCUGAGGACUCUGCACGGACUGCCGGCGCAAGCCGCGAGGAAGGCGGGGAUGACGUCAAAUCAGCACGGCCCUUACGUCCGGGGCGACACACGUGUUACAAUGGGUGGUACAGCGGGAAGCCAGGCGGCGACGCCGAGCGGAACCCGAAAUCCACUCUCAGUUCGGAUCGGAGUCUGCAACCCGACUCCGUGAAGCUGGAUUCGCUAGUAAUCGCGCAUCAGCCAUGGCGCGGUGAAUACGUUCCCGGGCCUUGUACACACCGCCCGUCAAGCCAUGGGAGCCGAGGGCGCUUGAAGUGCGUCGCCGCGAGGCGCGCCCUAGAGCGAAAUCGGUGACUGGGGCUAAGUCGUAACAAGGU
Molecule: ribosomal RNA, 1481 nt
Filed under: uncultured bacterium
Lineage: Bacteria
Description: 16S ribosomal RNA
Rfam family: Bacterial small subunit ribosomal RNA
Source: RNAcentral